RNAcentral lists this long non-coding RNA (1066 nucleotides) under Mus musculus (house mouse). Its description in RNAcentral is "long non-coding RNA chr9:100555558-100556624". Lineage: Eukaryota; Metazoa; Chordata; Mammalia; Rodentia; Muridae. The record is from RNAcentral.
GGAAGGAAAGUUAAAUCCAACCUCUCUGGCAGGCACUUGGUACCUUGCUCCAUGUGGCCCUGGUCUGUCCUUACCCCUUGGCAUCUACGCUUUGCUGCAGGAAUCUGUGUGGAGUGUGCCCUCCCCCACCCCCAACCUCGUACCACAUGUGUAAAAAUCAUUUCCCAAAUUUUUAUUCCACCAGUUCCUCCUCGGCUCCAACUUUCUAAAUUCUGAUCAUCUGUUAGGGCCUAAUUCAAAUUCUGUCUUGAAGAACAAGCCUCUGCCUUCUCCAGACAUCCCUUUAUCUAAAUAAUUACGGCACUUCUAAUCUAAUUUGUAUAAUGUAAUCACGUGCUUCCUGCUUGGCUCAGCUCUAGGGUUUUAUGUUCCUAGUUACUGUACCCAAUUUAACUAUGUCAAUUCUCCUCCUUGAUGACCAGUGAUUACCUUAAUGAAAUUUUACAUUCCAUAACUUCACAUUUGCUUGCUAUUGUUAAAAUGUUACCUCGUAUCCAUUCAGAGUUUUCCCCUUCCUGCUACAGGCCACAUCUACAGCCCUAGGUCAUAGUUAGAGAGCAUGUGUAGCUUGCUAUUUAUUCCUCCUAUUUUCUCCUUUUGGAGACCAUAAGAAGAGUUUACCGGGCUAUCAGGAUGGCUCCGUAGUCAAGGAUGCACUCCAAAGAAAGGCCAAUGUCCAAUCCCUGGAACUCAUAUGGUAGAAAGAACUGACUCUUGCAAAUUCUCCUCUGACUUCCACACACAUGCCAUGGCACAAGUAUGCCAAUACCCACACAUAUAUAAUAAAUAUUUAAAAUUGUAAAGAAAGGUUAAUCUUUUUAUAUAUAAUUUAUUUUUAUUUUAUAUUCACUCCUUUUUGCCAGCAUUUAUGUCUCUGUGGAUGUCAGAAGCCCUGGAACUGGAGUUACAGACACUUGUGACCUGCCAAGUGGGUACUAGGAAUUGAACCUGGGUCCUGUGAAAGAGCAGCCAGUGCUCAUAACUGCAGAGUCAUCUCUCCAGCCCCAGAAGGGCUUAUCUUAAUUGCUUUAGUCCCCAUCUAUUGGGCUGUAGCUUCUCUAGUGGC